UACGGAGGGUGCAAGCGUUGCUCGGAAUUAUUGGGCGUAAAGGGUAGGUAGGUGGUCCGAUUUGUCAGGGGUGAAAGCCUUGGGCUUAACUCAAGAAGUGCCCCUGAAACGGUCGGACUAGAGUGCUGGAGAGGGUCGUGGAAUUCCCGGUGUAGCGGUGAAAUGCGUAGAGAUCGGGAGGAACACCAGAGGCGAAGGCGGCGACCUGGACAGUGACUGACACUCAACUACGAAAGCGUGGGGAGCAAACAGG
Molecule: ribosomal RNA, 253 nt
Filed under: uncultured bacterium
Lineage: Bacteria
Description: partial 16S ribosomal RNA
Rfam family: Bacterial small subunit ribosomal RNA
Source: RNAcentral